GCAUUGGUGGUUUAAUGGUAGAAUCCUUGCCUUCCAUACAGGAGACUAAGGUUCAAUUCCUGACCAACGAA
Molecule: transfer RNA, 71 nt
Filed under: Loxodonta africana (African savanna elephant)
Lineage: Eukaryota; Metazoa; Chordata; Mammalia; Proboscidea; Elephantidae
Rfam family: tRNA
About the family: Transfer RNA (tRNA) molecules are approximately 80 nucleotides in length.
Source: Rfam by way of RNAcentral